UACGGAAGCAGCAGUGGGGAAUAUUGCACAAUGGGCGAAAGCCUGAUGCAGCUAUGCCGCGUGUAUGAAGAAGGCCUUAGGGUUGUAAAGUACUUUCAUCGGGGAGGAAAAAACAAAACUAAUAAUUUUAUUUCUUGACGUUACCCGAAAAAGAAGCACCGGCUAACUCCGUGCCAGCAGCCGCGGUAAUACGGAGGGUGCUAGCGUUAAUCAGAAUUACUGGGCGUAAAGAGCACGUAGGUGGUUUUUUUAAAGUCAGAUGUGAAAUCCCUGGGCUUAACCUAGGAACUGCAUUUUGAAACUGAAAUACUAGAGUAUCGUAGAGGGAGGUAGAAUUCUAGGUGUAGCGGUGAAAUGCGUAGAUAUCUGGAGGAAUACCUGUGGCGAAAGCGGCCUCCUAAACGAAUACUGACACUGAGGGUGCGAAAGCGUGGGGAGCAAACAGGGAUUAGAUACCCGU
RNAcentral lists this ribosomal RNA (460 nucleotides) under uncultured bacterium. RNAcentral describes it as "bacterial SSU rRNA". It matches the Rfam family "Bacterial small subunit ribosomal RNA", at positions 340 to 789 of the family's 1533-position model. The record is from RNAcentral.